RNAcentral lists this ribosomal RNA (531 nucleotides) under uncultured bacterium. RNAcentral's name for it is "bacterial SSU rRNA". It matches the Rfam family "Bacterial small subunit ribosomal RNA", at positions 8 to 518 of the family's 1533-position model. The record is from RNAcentral.
AGAGUUUGAUUCUGGCUCAGAACGAACGCUGGCAGCGUGGAUUAGGCAUGCAAGUCGAACGGGAUCGGGAAGGUAGCAAUAUCGGCCCGUGAGAGUGGCGGAAGGGCGAGGAACACGUGGGCAACCUGUCCUUGAGGUGGGGAAAACCGUUGGAAACGACGGCUAAUACCGAAUGUGGCGCCGGGAGGCAUCUUCCGCGCGCUAAAGGGGGCCGCAAGGCUCCCCCUCUUCGAGGGGCUCGCGCACCAUCAGCUUGUUGGCGGGUAACGGCCCACCAAGGCUCACGGUUAGCUGGUCUGAGAGGAUGGCCAGCCGCACUGGGACUGAGAUACUGCCCAGACUCCUACGGGAGGCUGCAGUCGAGGAUCAUUCGCAAUGGGGGAAACCCUGACGAUGCGACGCUGCGUGGAAGGAUGAAGGCCCUCGGGUCGUAAACUCCUGUCAUGAGGGAAAAGGCGAGGGGACCCAACACGUCCCUUAGUUGAUGGUACCUCAAGAGGAACGGGCGGCUAACUCUGUGCCAGCAGCUGC